Molecule: ribosomal RNA, 123 nt
Filed under: Shigella flexneri
Lineage: Bacteria; Pseudomonadati; Pseudomonadota; Gammaproteobacteria; Enterobacterales; Enterobacteriaceae
Also listed under: 1 other name
Description: partial 16S ribosomal RNA
Rfam family: Bacterial small subunit ribosomal RNA
Source: RNAcentral
UUAAAUUGAAGAGUUUGAUCAUGGCUCAGAUUGAACGCUGGCGGCAGGCCUAACACAUGCAAGUCGAACGGUAACAGGAAGCAGCUUGCUGUUUCGCUGACGAGUGGCGGACGGGUGAGUAAU